RNAcentral lists this non-coding RNA (167 nucleotides) under uncultured Prevotella sp. Lineage: Bacteria; Pseudomonadati; Bacteroidota; Bacteroidia; Bacteroidales; Prevotellaceae. The record is from RNAcentral.
CAUCGCGAGGUGGAAUUUGAAAGAAGUCUGCGGCAAAUAUCUACCCCGGCAGACUGAAACCUAAUACUAAGGCUGUUUGCGAGGGUAAGGCGGCCAAAAACGUCAAAGCCCUAAAACUACUUGGAAUCGCAAGGAAUUAAUUAUGCGGGGAUAAGGUAGAAAGUUGA